This 476-nucleotide ribosomal RNA is filed under the name uncultured bacterium. Its description in RNAcentral is "bacterial SSU rRNA". It matches the Rfam family "Bacterial small subunit ribosomal RNA", at positions 19 to 518 of the family's 1533-position model. The record is from RNAcentral.
CUGGCUCAGAACGAACGCUGGCGGCAUGGAUUAGGCAUGCAAGUCGAACGGACAUAGCAAUAUGUCAGUGGCGAAAGGGUGAGGAACGCGUGAGCAACCUGCCCUCAAGUUGGGAAUAACAGCUGGAAACGGCUGAUAAUACCGGAUGUGGCUCCUGGACGCAUGUUUGGGAGGCUAAAGAUUUUAUCGCUUGAGGAUGGGCUCGCGUCCCAUUAGCUAGUUGGUGAGGUAACGGCUCACCAAGGCAACGAUGGGUAGCUGGUCUGAGAGGAUGGUCAGCCACACUGGGACUGAGACACUGCCCAGACUCCUACGGGAGGCUGCAGUCGAGAAUCUUGGGCAAUGCGCGAAAGCGUGAACCCCCAGCAAUGCCGCGUGCGGGAUGAAGGUCUUCGGAUUGUAAACCGCUGUCACUCGGGACGAAAAAUGACGGUACCGAGGGAGGAAGCCACGGCUAACUACGUGCCAGCAGCCGC